CUGGAUGAUUCAUUAAUUAGGAGUCAAGGAAAAUAAAGAAUUGAAGAUGAUCCCAAGUUUUGUGUUUGUUUCCUGAAUACUUGUGGGUAAUAACAAUAACGUGUGUAGAAUGAGGAAAGCUGACUUUUGGUAGAAAUAGGUGAGUUUUGGUUUUUUAUUUUCUAGUGGAAAAGUGGUGGGGCUAAUCACAACUGCUUAUUUUUGUGCCAGGUAAUUUUGCAUAUGUUAUUGCACUUAAUCUCCUGACUACCUGAGAGCAAAUCAUCAUUUUCCUUUUUCUGUAUGUAGUAUGAGAUUCCAAGACCAAGUGACCUUUCUAAAGCCACAGAGGUUUUAGGUGAUACAGCAGGAUGUGCGCCUGUAUUUCCUGACUCCAAACUCCAUGUUGUGCCUAUUGUCCUCCACAAAAGUGAGUCGUGGGAAGAUAUGUGGAUUGUCCCAGCAUAAAGGAAGAGAGAGACUCAUUUUUUCCCAGGUGAAAUUGAGAGUUUAUUUCAUGCCAUGGGCCAAAAGGAAGGAGCAGAACAAAGAAGAAAAGAGUAUUGUGAGCCAAAUUCCCUAAGAUGCCUUCAUGGAAAACAACCUGGAGCUAUGUUAAUAAUUGCAACGAUACCUGACAUUCAUUGAGAUCUCUGAGAAUACUAACUGGUGAGUUACACAUGCUCACAUACAGUCUGUUUAGUCCUCACAGCAAACCUAUGAUUUUACAUAUUAGUUAUUUAUGACCACAGUGGUACUGCAAAGCAAAAAACAGCCAAACCAUAAUAAGUGUUAAUUAUUGCUCACACAUCUGGGAUCUAAGCAGUACUGAUUAUCUGAGCUGGACUCACUCAAGUCCAGGGGUCAGCUGCUUCUUGGCUGACCUAGGCAAGCUCUGGCUACUAUGAGUCUAUUCCACCUGUUUCUCAUCCUUGGAGGCUUGAAGACCCAGCAUGUUCUUGUCCUGAAAGCAGAAGUGCAAAAGCACAGUAUCUCUGUGCAAGUACACUUUUAG
This 994-nucleotide long non-coding RNA is filed under the name Rhinopithecus bieti (black snub-nosed monkey). RNAcentral's name for it is "lncRNA (ENSRBIG00000045674.1)". The record is from RNAcentral. Lineage: Eukaryota; Metazoa; Chordata; Mammalia; Primates; Cercopithecidae.